CCUACGGGUGGCUGCAGUCGAGAAUCAUUCACAAUGGGGGAAACCCUGAUGGUGCGACGCCGCGUGGGGGAAUGAAGGUCUUCGGAUUGUAAACCCCUGUCAUGUGGGAGCAAAUUAAAAAGAUAGUACCACAAGAGUAAGAGGCGGCUAACUCUGUGCCAGCAGCCGCGGUAAUACCGAGGUCUCAAGCGUUGUUCGGAAUCACUGGGCGUAAAGGGUUCGUAGGCUGUUUCGUAAGUCGUGUGUGAAAGGCGCGGGCUCAACCCGCGGACGGCACAUGAUACUGCGAGACUAGAGUAAAGAAGGGGGGAGCGGAAUUCUAGGUGUAGCAGUGAAAUGCGUAGAUAUCGAGAGGAACACUCGUGGCGAAGGCGGGUUCCUGGACAGUAACUGACGCUGAGGCACGAAGGCGAGGGGAGCGAAAGGGAUUAGAUACCCCAGUAGUC
RNAcentral lists this ribosomal RNA (446 nucleotides) under uncultured bacterium. RNAcentral describes it as "partial 16S ribosomal RNA". It matches the Rfam family "Bacterial small subunit ribosomal RNA", at positions 338 to 795 of the family's 1533-position model. The record is from RNAcentral.